This 460-nucleotide ribosomal RNA is filed under the name uncultured bacterium. RNAcentral's name for it is "partial 16S ribosomal RNA". It matches the Rfam family "Bacterial small subunit ribosomal RNA", at positions 338 to 795 of the family's 1533-position model. The record is from RNAcentral.
CCUACGGGAGGCAGCAGUGAGGAAUAUUGGUCAAUGGGCGCAAGCCUGAACCAGCCAAGUCGCGUGAGGGAAGACGGCCCUACGGGUUGUAAACCUCUUUUGCCGGGGAGCAAGCCUGAGCACGUGUGCCCCGGCGGAGAGUACCCGGAGAAAAAGCAUCGGCUAACUCCGUGCCAGCAGCCGCGGUAAUACGGAGGAUGCGAGCGUUAUCCGGAUUUAUUGGGUUUAAAGGGUGCGUAGGCGGAUUUUUAAGUCAGCGGUAAAAUGUCCGGGCUCAACCCGGGCCGGCCGUUGAAACUGGGGAGCUUGAGUGGGCGAGAAGUAGGCGGAAUGCGUGGUGUAGCGGUGAAAUGCAUAGAUAUCACGCAGAACUCCGAUUGCGAAGGCAGCAUACCGGCGCCCGACUGACGCUGAGGCACGAAAGCGUGGGGAUCGAACAGGAUUAGAUACCCGUGUAGUC